RNAcentral lists this ribosomal RNA (117 nucleotides) under Danio rerio (zebrafish). Lineage: Eukaryota; Metazoa; Chordata; Actinopteri; Cypriniformes; Danionidae. The record is from RNAcentral.
CGCCACAGCCAUAUCACCCUGCAGCCCAAGACCGGUUACUCACUAAAGCUAAGCAGGGCUGAGCCUGGUUAGUACCUGGAUGGGAGACCACUAGGGAACACUAGGUUGCUGUUGGAA